GACGAACCGUGCGAACGUUGUUCGGAAUCACUGGGCUUAAAGGGCGCGUAGGCGGCUUGCCAAGUCCGGGGUGAAAGCCCCCAGCUCAACUGGGGAAGGGCCUCGGAUACUGGCGAGCUCGAGGGAGGUAGGGGUCGAGGGAACUUCUGGUGGAGCGGUGAAAUGCGUUGAUAUCAGAAGGAACGCCGGUGGCGAAAGCGCUCGACUGGAUCUCUACUGACGCUGAGGCGCGAAAGCUAGGGGAGCAAACGGG
RNAcentral lists this ribosomal RNA (253 nucleotides) under uncultured bacterium. RNAcentral describes it as "partial 16S ribosomal RNA". It matches the Rfam family "Bacterial small subunit ribosomal RNA", at positions 524 to 776 of the family's 1533-position model. The record is from RNAcentral.